RNAcentral lists this ribosomal RNA (198 nucleotides) under uncultured bacterium. Its description in RNAcentral is "partial 16S ribosomal RNA". It matches the Rfam family "Bacterial small subunit ribosomal RNA", at positions 328 to 539 of the family's 1533-position model. The record is from RNAcentral.
ACGCUCGACACCUAUGGGAGGCAGCAGUGGGGAAUAUUGCACAAUGGGGGAAACCCUGAUGCAGCGACGCCGCGUGGAGGAAGAAGGUCUUCGGAUUGUAAACUCCUGUUGUUGGGGAAAAAGAGGAUGGUACCCAACAAGGAAGUGACGGCUAACUACGUGCCAGUAGCCGCGGUAAUCUGAGCGGGCUGGCAAGGC